GAGCUGCCAUAAAUGGUUGACCUGAUUCUAAACCUCAGGCAAUGUGUUCAUGGAAGUCUAUGUCAUUUCGUUCAUAUAUUCAAAUACAACAAUGGGUAAAACUGUAUGAAUUUUUUCUAAUUUUAUGUUUAGAACUUGCAAUUACUUUAGUAAUACUAACCGUUAUGUAAGAUUAGCAGUUUCGCCAGUAAUCAUUAGAGUUUGGUUUCCACCUUUGUAGAAAACGAAUUUAUUCAAGUUUGGGAUAUACCAGGUGGCAUUCAUCUUGUACAAGAUUAAACUGGAAUUCAGUUUUCAAUAUCUCUAAUUUUACACAUAUGUAGAUACGCGGAAUUGAUUGAAUUGACAAUACGACAGGAGUAUAACAUAUAAGAUGUGGGAAAAAACAUAUAAGAUGUGGGAAAAUACUGUGAAUAUAGUUUCUGUUCUUUUACUGAAUAUCAGAUUGUUGUGGUCUUAAGUUUGCCAAAUAAACAUGACAUUAUUCCGUAGUAACAGAAACAAUGAUUAGAACCAGAAAGAGGACAAUCAGCUGGCUGGCUAGUUUGAUCAUUCGUCAAGGGGGAUAUUGCAAUCAAUACAUACGAUACUCCGAUGAAUCUCCCAAUUCCAUAUUUAUAUGCCAAGAUGGUGAACAUUUGACUCAUAUUGGUAAUACAUUUUGCUUACCACAUUUCAAGGCGCGGUAGAAGCCUUUCUUUUCUACACACCACAUACUUUCCACAAUGUGUAUUAAGAAAUUGCAUGAUAUUCAUUAGAAUUCAGUUAUUGUUAGGGUUUAAAUAUAUGAGUCCUUUAUAUUGUAUUUGGCUCACAGCUUCUACGCAGCUCUAUCCGCUUUUAAUGGCGGUUGACCCGACAGUCAUUUAUGACUGUCUUGGUCAAUUUGGCACAUUUCGCUGCGUUUCCUUUAAAUAUGCGUCAUUUGGCGUCAUAUUUCAUUUAGCAUCCAAAACAUUUGAUAUUGUGGGUCUCUGUAUCCCAGGACCACCACACAAAAAUUUACGAAUCUCUGUUUCCCAGGAUUCAUUUAAUUGGAUGCUUUAUUUAUUGUAAAUAAUUAGUUAUCUAGUUAUCUAUCUAUCUAUCUAGUUAUCUUUUUGUAGUCUGCCAAUAUGAAAGGUGACUACGUUUAAUUAAUUAUCUAUUUACUAUAUAUAUAUCUUAAUUAUUUAUCUAUUUAGUUAUCUAGUUAUCGUGUCGUAGUUUGCCAAUAUGAAAGGUGACUACGUUCAUCGAAAUAUCUAUUUACUUUACAUAUAUAUAUCUUAACUGUUUACCUAGUAAUAUGUGUUUAUAAUUUUAUAAUAAAGCUGUGGCCAAAUACUGCCAA
Long non-coding RNA from Mytilus californianus (California mussel), 1333 nucleotides. RefSeq lists it as uncharacterized. The record is from RefSeq and is a predicted model, not a curated record. NCBI's taxonomy places the organism in Eukaryota, Metazoa, Mollusca, Bivalvia, Mytilida, Mytilidae. The transcript is spliced from 2 exons.